Long non-coding RNA from Strongylocentrotus purpuratus (purple sea urchin), 1802 nucleotides. RefSeq lists it as uncharacterized. The record is from RefSeq and is a predicted model, not a curated record. NCBI's taxonomy places the organism in Eukaryota, Metazoa, Echinodermata, Echinoidea, Camarodonta, Strongylocentrotidae. The transcript has 3 exons.
UCCAAAUAUAUCAAAAUUGUAAAGAAUCACUAUCCAGCCAAUCUUCAAAAUUUCCUAAAACUUUGCAUUACCAAUUACAAUCUUUAUACUUUAUAGUCAGCUUAGGAGCAAAUAAGUAAAAUGAAAAACCCGUUCACGAACUUCGGUUUUAUGAUAAUCCAUAACCUACCAAUCACGAUUGCGUAUUUGGGUCAUGGAUACGUCAUAAAAUCAAAGUUCAUAAACAGUUCUUUUCAUUUCAGUCAUCCUGCUCCUGACUGAGUAUAAAGAUUGUCAUUUUCUUUAGAAGGUUUUCUGAUCAUCACAAGAUUCACACUACCGUACAUUAAUAAUCCAACUGAUUUGAAGUUAUCUUGCUCCUAACUGAGUAGAAAGAUUUUCAUUGUAUUUGGCAAGGUCUUUCAGAGCAUCACAAGAUUCACACUCCAUCAGAGAAUUUGAAGUCAUAGACUCGAACACAUUACAAUUCGACCGAUUUGAAGCAAUAUGGCACGCCAAGUAGCAAACGAGUAUCCACAGAUACACUGCCUUUCUUUAAACAGUCAAAGGUUGGACCGUAAAGUACCAAGAUCGAAAGGUUACCUGGUGGUGGUUUUUGCAACAUUGAAGAAUGCCACAGCUAGAAAAUCAAUUCAAUCAAAGGAAUCAGAACUGGCAAUGUAUAAUCCUUCCCGUGAAUUCUCCAUUCCUUUAAGGAGAGGUAGUGUACCAGCACACAGAAAAUUGGUCAUGACGAAGUUAGGAAAGAAAGUUACUGAAGAUGAUCUCCGUGAGUAUGCCAGUGCGAUAACUAAAGGAAAGAGUCAGUUGGUUUGGGCUAGUGAAGAAAAUUUAGAUUUCUGGCAGGAUAAAGCAAUGCAUGGAUAUGAUGUAAUAGAAGUCCUCAACGAGAUAGGCAUGAGAAUCCAUGAAAGACUUGGUAGAGGAAGGGAAGGUCCAUUGCCGGGUCCAUUGAAAUAUUAUUGAACAUCCUGUAUUUAAAAUUAAAAAGUACCCAUUUUUUUGCCUUCAGAACUGUAAGUUAAUCUUGAUUUCCGGUUAGUUCCUGAAAUAGUUAAUCCAACCCCGCCUAUAAAAAUUUCCACAGAAUGAUAAAUACAAAUUAAUAACCAUAUUACUUCAAUUGAUAUGUAAUUGCUGCAAUAUUUCAUGACAAAAUAAACAUGUGACUUUUUAGAGUUUCUGGGAAUUGUGAAACAUAUUCAGUUUUGUUUCUGUUUCACUUGAUUUAGGAACUUCAUAUUUUGUUUUAAAAACCCAGUUUAUGAUUGGAAAUUGACGCAAGGCCUUAAACACUAGAUGGCUCUCAUAAAAAAGACCUUUAGAAAAAUCUCAAUUCAGUUUUUUGUUGUUUUAAAUAGGCUUACAUUUUGUUGCAUUCUAGUGCAUUUGGUUUCCAACAACUUGUUAACAAAAAAUGUCAAUCUAUUAUUGAAAAUAUUCACAACAAAUUUCGUUUCAAGAUUUCCUUAUUUAGCACAUUAUUCUGGAGAUUAAAAUAUGAUUGAAAAGACUGAUAUGUGCAAGAUCAAAUUAAGGAACUAUAGAUAAAAAUGCAAUAAUCAGUCAUAUUCUAUCAUGUAUCCUUAAAACACAUCAAAUAUGAAUUCAGGAAAGCCAUAACAUAUAUUUCAAUUUUGUGAUAAAUGUUGUUGUCCUUCAUGUACAAACAAACAUUUGUUUUUAAUGUUUUCUUUGGGUGAUCCAUAGACCGAAGUCGUUAAUUGAUGGUUAAACGGUGCGUCCCAGAAAAAACGAAACCGAGAAUUAUCAACUUUUCAAUUAUAAUUAAUAAAUGACAC